RNAcentral lists this ribosomal RNA (439 nucleotides) under uncultured bacterium. RNAcentral describes it as "partial 16S ribosomal RNA". It matches the Rfam family "Bacterial small subunit ribosomal RNA", at positions 339 to 795 of the family's 1533-position model. The record is from RNAcentral.
CUACGGGUGGCAGCAGUGAGGAAUAUUGCACAAUGGGGGGAACCCUGAUGCAGCAACGCCGCGUGGAGGAUGACGCAUUUCGGUGUGUAAACUCCUUUUAUAUGUCAAGAAAAUGACGGUAGCAUAUGAAUAAGCACCGGCUAACUCCGUGCCAGCAGCCGCGGUAAUACGGAGGGUGCAAGCGUUACUCGGAAUCACUGGGCGUAAAGGACGCGUAGGCGGGUUGGAAAGUCAGGUGUGAAAUCCUACAGCUUAACUGUAGAACUGCACUUGAAACUUCUAAUCUAGAGUAUGGGAGGGGGAGAUGGAAUUAGUGGUGUAGGGGUAAAAUCCGUAGAUAUCACUAGGAACACCGAAAGCGAAGGCGAUCUCCUGGAACAUUACUGACGCUAAGGCGUGAAAGCGUGGGGAGCAAACAGGAUUAGAUACCCGCGUAGUC